CGGCCGGUGAACAGGUGCUGCAUGGCUGUCGUCAGCUCGUGCUGUGAAGUGUUCGGGUUAAGUCCCGCAACGAGCCGCAACCCCCUGCCGUCUGUUGCCACCACGAAAGGUGGGGACUCAGGCGGGACCGCCGGUGACAAACCGGAGGAAGGUGGGGACGACGGUCAAGUCAUCAUGGCCCUUAUGUCCUGGGCCACACACGUGCUACAAUGGCCGGUACAGAGCGCAGCGAGGCCGCGAGGCGGAGCGAAUCGCUUAAAGCCGGUCCCAGUACGGAUUGGAGUCUGCAACCCGACUCCAUGAAGUUGGAAUCGCUAGUAAUCGCGCAUCAGCAUGGCGCGGUGAAUACGUUCCCGGGCCUU
This 362-nucleotide ribosomal RNA is filed under the name uncultured Spirochaeta sp. Its description in RNAcentral is "bacterial SSU rRNA". It matches the Rfam family "Bacterial small subunit ribosomal RNA", at positions 1024 to 1382 of the family's 1533-position model. Lineage: Bacteria; Pseudomonadati; Spirochaetota; Spirochaetia; Spirochaetales; Spirochaetaceae. The record is from RNAcentral.